RNAcentral lists this ribosomal RNA (468 nucleotides) under uncultured bacterium. Its description in RNAcentral is "partial 16S ribosomal RNA". It matches the Rfam family "Bacterial small subunit ribosomal RNA", at positions 28 to 507 of the family's 1533-position model. The record is from RNAcentral.
GACGAACGCUGGCGGCGUGCUUAACACAUGCAAGUCGAACGGAAAGGCCCUGCUUUUGUGGGGUGCUCGAGUGGCGAACGGGUGAGUAACACGUGAGUAACCUGCCCUUGACUUUGGGAUAACUUCAGGGAACUGGGGCUAAUACCGGAUAGGAGCUCCUGCUGCAUGGUGGGGGUUGGAAAGUUUCGGCGGUUGGGGAUGGACUCGCGGCUUAUCAGCUUGUUGGUGGGGUAGUGGCUUACCAAGGCUUUGACGGGUAGCCGGCCUGAGAGGGUGACCGGCCACAUUGGGACUGAGAUACGGCCCAGACUCCUACGGGAGGCAGCAGUGGCGAAUAUUGCACAAUGGGCGGAAGCCUGAUGCAGCAACGCCGCGUGCGGGAUGACGGCCUUCGGGUUGUAAACCGCUUUCGCCUGUGACGAAGCGUGAGUGACGGUAAUGGGUAAAGAAGCACCGGCUAACUACGUG